This is a non-coding RNA of Microcebus murinus (gray mouse lemur), 238 nucleotides long. Lineage: Eukaryota; Metazoa; Chordata; Mammalia; Primates; Cheirogaleidae. The record is from RefSeq and is a predicted model, not a curated record.
ACAGUCCAGAAAGGACCAAAGGCCUCCAGUCAUUAGCCACGUGAGAGAGCCAUCUUGACAUCAGAUUCUCCAGCUCCAAUCAAGCUUUUAGAUGACAGCAACCCCAGAAACCCUGAGCCAUAGUCAGCUAGAUAACUACUACAGGAAGGUAGACUAGAAGUAGGAGCCUGAGAAAAAGGCCAAGGGACAUAGGGCAGAGAGAAGGUAUAUGAAAGCGUGGAGAAGUGUAGAAUUGCUC